CGCGUAGGCGGGAUGGCAAGUCGGUCGUGAAAUCCUUCGGCUCAACCGAAGAACGUCGGCCGAUACUGCCGUUCUUGAGGGAUGCAGGGGAGAUUGGAAUUCCCGGUGUAGCGGUGAAAUGUGUAGAGAUCGGGAGGAACACCGGUGGCGAAGGCGGGUCUCUGGGCAUCUCCUGACGCUGAGGCGCGAAAGCGUGGGGAGCAAACG
Molecule: ribosomal RNA, 207 nt
Filed under: uncultured bacterium
Lineage: Bacteria
Description: partial 16S ribosomal RNA
Rfam family: Bacterial small subunit ribosomal RNA
Source: RNAcentral